UAAUACGGAAGGGGCAAGCGUUGUUCGGAAUUAUUGGGCGUAAAGGGCGCGUAGGUGGUCUUGUAUGUCUACCGUGAAAGCACACGGCUCAACCGUGUAGAGUCGGUGGAAACUGCAAGACUUGAGGUUGGGAGGGGCUGGUGGAAUUCCCUGUGUAGCGGUGAAAUGCGUAGAGAUGGGGGAGAACACUUGUGGCGAAGGCGGCCAGCUGGACCAAAUCUGACACUGAGGCGCGACAGCGUGGGGAGCAAACAGGAUUAGAUACCCUGGUAGUCCACGCCGUAAACGAUGGGCACUAGGUGCUGGCGGUAUUGAUCCCGUCAGUGCCGGCGCUAACGCAGUAAGUGCCCCGCCUGGGGAGUACGGUCGCAAGGCUG
Molecule: ribosomal RNA, 377 nt
Filed under: uncultured bacterium
Lineage: Bacteria
Description: bacterial SSU rRNA
Rfam family: Bacterial small subunit ribosomal RNA
Source: RNAcentral